GAUGAACGCUAGCGAUAGGCUUAACACAUGCAAGUCGAGGGGCAGCGAGGGUAGCAAUACCUGUCGGCGACCGGCGCACGGGUGAGUAACGCGUAUGUAACCUGCCCGCAACAGGGGGAUAACCCGGCGAAAGUCGGACUAAUACCGCAUAAAACAGGGGUCCCGCAUGGGAAUAUUUGUUAAAGAUUUAUCGGUUGCGGAUGGGCAUGCGUACCAUUAGGUAGUUGGUGAGGUAACGGCUCACCAAGCCUUCGAUGGUUAGGGGUUCUGAGAGGAAGGUGCCCCACACUGGUACUGAGACACGGACCAGACUCCUACGGGAGGCAGCAGUGAGGAAUAGUGGUCAGUGGGCGAGAGCCUGAACCAGCCAAGUCGCGUGAAGGAUGGCUGCCCUAUGGGUUGUAAACUUCUUUUACAAGGGAAUAAAAUGAGAUACGGGUAUUUUAUUGCAUGUACCUUGAGAAUAAGCAUCGGCUAACUCCGUG
Molecule: ribosomal RNA, 485 nt
Filed under: uncultured bacterium
Lineage: Bacteria
Description: partial 16S ribosomal RNA
Rfam family: Bacterial small subunit ribosomal RNA
Source: RNAcentral